This 21412-nucleotide long non-coding RNA is filed under the name Carica papaya (papaya). Its description in RNAcentral is "long non-coding RNA (CPAP_LNC009748)". The record is from RNAcentral. Lineage: Eukaryota; Viridiplantae; Streptophyta; Magnoliopsida; Brassicales; Caricaceae.
UUGCUCCCACUGGCAUAGCAUUUUCAAUUGGUUGUAUCCUUUUAGGGGACAUGCUGGCAAAGUGCCAUCUGUGAUUUGAGCAACAGUUGACAUAUAAUAUUGUAAAGAAUCUCUCUCUCUCUCUCUCUCUCUCCAAUUUGGUCAGCAACAAGAGAAUUUUCUCUCAGGAAAAGGAAAAAGGUUGAUAAUAGUAAAGCAAGCCUAACAGAAACAUUUGUUGACAUUAUUCAGCAAGUACUUGUGGAGUCCAUGUGAAUCCUCUUACACAGGAAAUUUUUUUUUGCAUACAAAUAGGUGCAACUUUGAGUGGAGGCUAACAUUUUCUUUCAUUCGAGGUCUUGAGUUGUGCUGUCUCUACUGGAAUUCCCUCUUUUUGGUUACUUUUCUUUUGGCUAAAAUAUUAAAUUGGUUCAUGUACUAUGUUAAAAUAUUUAAAUUAAUCUUUGUACUUUCAAAAAGUUUUUGUUUUAGUUCCUGACUGUUUAUGCAUGCUAGCAAUGUUAAUGGAUUUGCCAUGUGGUAGUGAGUUGGAUACUUGAUUAUUUUUGGUUUGGAUGAAUUGACAUUUGGCGUGAAAACUAAUUUAUUUGUGUGCAUUAAUGACCAAAGACUAAAUAAUUUUUUUUUGGAAGUACUGGGAUCAAAAGUGCAAAAAAAAAAGCAUAAGAACUACUUUGAAUAGUUUAAAAUAGGAUAAGGACCAAUGUAGCAUGGUCAUGUUACCUGUUUCUUUUUGUUCUUUUUAGCUGUAGCUAUGGUCAUGUUACCGUUUUCUUAUUUUACAUGUUUUAUACCUCAUCAAUGAGUUAGGUUGAGUUCCUUACCACCUCUCCUUGUUCAGCGCAGGUGGCAUUUUGGAGUGUACAAGGUUUCUGAUGAAUGUGUUUCUCCAGGUUAGUAUGUAAUGAAAAGUAAAAAUAAUUUUUGGGGAUGAUAAUUUGAUGUGAAAAACAGUUUUGAUCCCCAUAUUCUUUGUUUAGCGAGAAGAGGACAAAACUCAUUCUGGCAUGUGAUACAUGAGGAGCCAGUUGAGACCGAAAUAAAAAAGAAGAAAAAGAAAAAAAAAUGUAUGGUGUAAAAUGAGAUGUUUAUUCUUCCAAAUUUCUGAUUUAUAUGUUAGUUCAGAUGUAAUUGGCAAUUGAUGUAAUUGCCUUGAUUGUUAUUUGAAAAAAUGAAUAGUAAUAUUUGUAUCACAAGCUAUGUUCAUCUUUCUUUCCUUGAUUUCUUCUGCAAAGACUUUCUUUCUAAUUUACCAUAUAAUUGAUAGUUUGCAUAAUCUAAUAUGAAUAUAUGUAGUUUAACUGUAUAAAUAUAAAAACAAGAAUUUAAUUUAAAAUAAAAUUGAAGAAAUAUAUUUUCAUUAUAGAAACUAGUUUCUUUUUAAUGUGUCAGCACAAUUUUGAAGUUGGUAAAUUAGUUGCCAUUUAUUUUACACUACUAAUUUAUCUUUUUGAUUUUUGACUUAGCCCACAAAGAAUUUCCUAGAACUUCGCCCGCUUCUGCUAGUUGGAUCACAUGGUUAACAUGAAGAACUGGCGUAUAAUUGAAAAUCUCUUUAAUAAUUGAAAUAUGUCGUCAUUUAGUUUUAACUGGAUUGAACUGAAUUAGGAUCAGUGAAAUUUGUAGUCCAGGAAUUUUUGGACCAAAUACCUAAUUGAACAUUAUUUGGUCCAAUCUGUUCUGGAAUGAACUCGCUGGUUUAACAUAGUUUUUUUGAUUGAAUUUGAUAAUAUUUAUCUUUAUAUUUUUUUUUUAACUUUUUAUGGUAAAGAGACUUAGACUCAAAAGAAGUAUUGCGUUGACUAUAUCACAUAUAUAAGGAUUUUUUUUUAAUACAAUAUAAUAUAUAUAUAUAUAUAUCUUGUAUUAACUAGAGUUAAAAAUUCAGCUUCUAAUUUGAAUUAAAAUUUCAACUUUUUAACUUAUUGUGGGUGGAGAAAUACUCGAAUGAGCCAAAGCUAUUAUAUGUAUAAAGAUUUUAUGAGAUAUAAAAACAUAUUUGAUAUAUUUUGAGAAAAAAAUCUUAAUAUAUUCUAAUUCAAGAGGAAGGAUAUUUUUUCAGUAAGAUAUGAUAUUUUUUUCGACUAUACAAGGAGACAGGUGUCCAUGUCAAAUGGAAAUAUGGCGAGUCUCGACUCUCGCGCAUCCGUUCACGUGGCGGACACAGAACGCCACUCUCUCUCCAACGACGCUUUGACAUCCUGUCCCGCUCAGAAGGAUCACGGGGAAGUCUUUCCCUUCCAUUUCCAAAUACUCACUCACUGAAAUCUCAAUAUAUAAGCUGAAAAAUCNNNNNNNNNNNNNNNNNNNNNNNNNNNNNNNNNNNNNNNNNNNNNNNNNNNNNNNNNNNNNNNNNNNNNNNNNNNNNNNNNNNNNNNNNNNUGUGUUCUUGACAUGGGGUACGUAAAAUGCGCAGUUCGUUUGGCAACUUCUGUCCUUUCGUGUUUUCACUAGAUUUUGGCAUUUUCAAGUCAUCUUCUAGAGUCUCCAACUGAGUGCAAAAGAAUCUUAGUUCUAAUAUUGAUGUGUUGAAGUUUAUUUCCCUGGAAUGGACGUGGAGUUUCAUCGUUUUUUUUUUCUUUUGAACUGCUGGCUUAUGUUUGCUCUUUCUUCAUCAGACUUAGAGUUUGUUUGGAACAAAAUGAAUUAUUUUGGUGGAAUAUAUUUAGAAAUCUUAGUUUCGUUUUCCUCUAGCAUUAGCAAAUCAUUCUGUAAAGACAAGUCUAACUAAUUCAUUCCGCCGAAUUUGAAAUGUAUGAUUUCAGUUCCACUUAUAAUAAUUUGAAAUUGAAUUUUCAUGUUUUAAGUUUAGAUUUAUAAAUAUUCAAAUAGUCUGUUUGCUCCAUGCAUCCUUAAUGACAUCUUAGAAGGUGUAUCAUGUUUAGUUUUGUUACAUUAAGGAGAGUGCGGGUUAUGACUAAAAAUGGUGUAAUUGAGCUUGAGCAUUUACUUUAUGAUCUUGUAUCUUCACUUGGUGAGAUUUUGACUUCUACUAGUGCCUAAUAGAUUGAAACUAAGUAGAAGAGCAUCAGGCAGACAGCGAGGAUUCUGUAGUAAGGCAUGUCCAUUCACUAUACUAUUGCAGAGCCAUUGCAAUGGCCUUCCUUUUUUUUUCUCUGAAAUUUAACAGUUGUCUGAAUUUUGACUUCAAAAGUUUCUGCGGAGGCAGUCAAGGGACAGUCUCAAGCAUAGAAGAGCUAAUGUCUAUGGUCUUCAUGCUCAAGAUCGUGUACUGGAGGUACUUCUCACUGAACCAGAAACUUCUUUUAAAUCCUGGCUAUUAUUAAGCUUCAUGAAAUUCUCAAAUUCUUUUGAUUUUUUAGGCUAUUUGACCAUAUCUCUGACCAUCUUAAGUAUAAAUGCAGCAAUAUCACUAUGAAAAAUGUGAAUGCAGUAGAAUUGCAUCUUGAAUUCUGGUGUUGUAUUGCUAGUAAUUUUUUUUUCUUAGGAUAAAUUGUGAGAUUUAUGUUAUUAAAUAGUUCAUGCAUCUAUUGUCCUUAUAUAUGUGUGUGUUUUUCUGCUACUAGUUUUGACUGAAACAUGCUAUAGGUAUCUUUAAGGGUAUUAAACUAAUUUUUGUUUUCUGAUACCUGUUCGUACUUCUAGGAAGAAGCCCCAAAGAUGUCAGAAACCAGCCCAUCAUUAAAAUUUUCCUCUGGGCAGCCAUUUCCAUUAGGUGUGUCAGAGGAUGAUAAUGGAAUCAAUUUUGCUAUUUUUUCACAGCAUGCAAUUGCAGUCACACUCUGCUUAUCAUUUCCCGAGAGGUGAAAUUAUUUCCUUAUUGGUUGGAUUAUGAAAUAAAAUUAUCAAUGGAAGUUACUGAAUUUGGUUUUCAUUUCUUGGCCUGCUAUAUGGUCAAAGAAUAGGGGACUAUUCAUGCCUCAACCAUGUUGUUCUAUACUUUAACAUUUCAUUCUGCCAUUUUCUUGGUGUCCUAGAAUCAUUCUUGUUUCAGUUUAAUGUAGAUGCUGGAUUAUGUUUGUUACAUGCGAUUCCGGUGUUUGUCAAGUUGUUAUCUAUAGGUUUUUAAGACAACCAUAGAAUGUUUUUGUGUUUGUCUAUUGUUUCAUUAGCAGAGAUAAACUUGCUUAACUUCUUCUGGUUUUCAUUAUGACGGACAUUAAUCUGUGGUUAUUUUUGGGGGUUUGUAAUUUAUAUGAGAAAAUCGUGUUUCGUAUCAAAUUUGUGCCAUCUGCUUUUUGAGUACGUCCUGUUGCAGUAUUGGCUUAUGUCAUAUCUCUCAACUGCUUAUGCUCCUUGCACCUUGACUCUAAAAAGCUCAUUUUGAUUCCUGUACCAUUCGCAUUUUAGCUGACUGUUUCUGAUGUUUUUGUACCAGUAAAAAUAUUGUUCUCAAGUUCUGGAGUUUUGACUUUUAUCUGUAUUAUCUUAAGCCUAAUGCAUUUUCCAUAGAUCAUAUCACAGGGAUAAGGUGGGAAGGCCAAAUGAUGAAAUGAUUGAACUGGCUCUGGAUCCACGUCUAAACAGAACUGGAGAUGUUUGGCACAUAUGUAUAGAGGUAGUAUUACACUUUUACUGGUUCUAUCCCUAUGGAAGUAGGGAAGUCUUCCAUGUGCAGCAUUCAUAUGAACACAUAUACUAAUUACUUAUAUAUGCAUCAACCAUUAUUGGUCACAUGAGAGGCUGAUAUCUUGCAAGUUUGCUGUUUGUAAUGUUGGCUGUAUGUGUGCAUACAUCCAACAUUUCUUUAUUACUUCUGUGACAUAAGGUCUUUAAUACAUCUUGCAUUUAUGCUUUGAAAUUGUAUAUGUAAAAGUAGGACUUGCCUCGAAGCAAGAUUCUCUAUGGUUAUCGCAUGGAUGGUCCUCAAAAUUGGCAUCAAGGGCAUCGAUUUGACAGCAGCAUUGUUCUUAUAGAUCCUUAUGCCAAGCUUGUUGAAGGACGCCAGUAUUUUGGAGACCCCAACCAUAGAUUUACAAAAUUUCUUGGAACUUAUGAUUUUGAGAGUCCAGAUUUUGAUUGGGGAGAUAACUACAAGCUACCAAACAUACCUGAGGUAUUAAGAUGUUUAUAUCCUUACCACACUCUAAUGGUAAAUUCUUCUCUCAGAUUGAGAUUUUACAUUCAUACAUAUUGAUAUAUUUCUUCCAGGCAUUCACCUUUGUUAUUAGUUGAAUAGACUAAUAACUAAAUGUAUGUCUAUUUUUCCUUAUAAAAGCUCUACAUGUUUUUCCUAGUAUUGAACUCCAAAUUUUUUUAGUCUUCAAAAUCAGAUUUUAUGCAUUAUGUUACAAGUAUUAUAUUUUACAUUUGUAUAUUGAUAAUUUCUUCCUGUCAUUCAUCUUUAUUAUUAGUUGAUUAAACUAGUAACUAAAGGUAUGCCCAUUUUUUCUUGUACUGAAUUCCAAAAUUCUUUUUAGUCAGAGUUUAUGCAUCGUGCAUACAAUUUUUAUAUUCUACAUUGUAAAUUCUGCAUCUCUGCUUUCUAUUAUCUUUGCAGAAAGAUCUUGUUAUAUAUGAGAUGAAUGUUCGUGCAUUCACAGCUGAUGAAUCUAGUGGCUUGGAUCCAAGUAUUCGUGGCAGCUACCUUGGAGUGAUUGAGAAGGUAAUUAUUGAUAUAUUAAAAUGAAAAAAAAAGACUUUUAUUUCCUUCAGUUUCCAGCUGGAUGAGAAAAUUCUUACUAAGGGAUCAGAUUGUUCAAAGAGUAGAUCCUUGAAUGAAUAAUACAGUGAGAGCAGGGUUUAUGUAGUGUGAGCUGAUGCAAGAGGUAACAGUUAAGUAAUUGUAACAAAAGUAGCUAGAAAUUAGUUAAAAUAGUUGCAAAAGGUUAAAUCCGUUUCAAGCAGCCGAGAUCGGGUUUAAAUAGAUCCAGGAAUGUAUAAAUACNNNNNNNNNNNNNNNNNNNNNNNNNNNNNNNNNNNNNNNNNNNNNNNNNNNNNNNNNNNNNNNNNNNNNNNNNNNNNNNNNNNNNNNNNNNNNNNNNNNNNNNNNNNNNNNNNNNNNNNNNNNNNNNNNNNNNNNNNNNNNNNNNNNNNNNNNNNNNNNNNNNNNNNNNNNNNNNNNNNNNNNNNNNNNNNNNNNNNNNNNNNNNNNNNNNNNNNNNNNNNNNNNNNNNNNNNNNNNNNNNNNNNNNNNNNNNNNNNNNNNNNNNNNNNNNNNNNNNNNNNNNNNNNNNNNNNNNNNNNNNNNNNNNNNNNNNNNNNNNNNNNNNNNNNNNNNNNNNNNNNNNNNNNNNNNNNNNNNNNNNNNNNNNNNNNNNNNNNNNNNAUCGCUUUAAGAAUGAGAAUAUUCUCAUCAGAAAGUGAUGCAAGGCAUCACUUUUCUUUCUACGUUUUGAGAAUGUUCUUGACAUAAAUCAGUGCAGGUGAGGAUGCCUAGCUGGAACUUGGGCAGCACCAGCAUUAUGCAAUUGUUGAAAAUUUCUUUUGCAUGCUUUAUUAUUUAAAGAAUGAUCCCUAUUGGGGAAUUGUUAUGUAGCUCGCCUGACUCUUUUUUUUUAACUUAAAGAUUCCACACCUUUUAGAGCUUGGUGUUAAUGCAUUGGAGCUACUGCCUGUCUUUGAAUUUGAUGAGUUGGAGUUUCAGAGGCGUCCAAACCCAAGAGAUCACAUGGUAGUAAAACAAAAAUCUGUCUCUGCUCUAUGCUAUAAUUUUUUUAUGAUGUGAACCCUUAUUGCAUUUUGUUCUCACUAUGAUAUUUGUUGCUGAAGAAGUCAAGUUCUGUUAACUUUCAGUUUUGUGGGUUUGACUUAGAACCUGUGUUUCCUUGGCAUUUUCUUCUCUUAUCUUGAUGCUUCUUAAUGACGAUUUAUCCUAUUUGUUACCUUAUGUGGCUUCUGAUGAAUUAAGACGUGAUGCAAAUGGAGAUACCAUUUGAGACAGUUGCAUAUUUCCCAGUAGCCGCUGUAGCUUUGCAUCCUUAUUGGAUUUCUCAAGUAUGAGGAGAUUUCAAAUCUCAGACAAUUAUGAUUGUUGGUUGGUUACUUAACUCCCAAAUGGAUGUCAUUAUAAACCUUUGGGAAGAAAAUGAAAUGCUAGGGAACAUUCUAGCAUUCUGCCAUUUACUUCUUUUUCUUUUAAUUUUUACGUGUUGCUUACCUUGUGCUUGGAUUUGAUGUAACAGAGUGAAAAAUAAAUCAACUUUAUUCAUUUUGCUAGAUCAAUACUUGGGGCUAUUCAACCAUAAAUUUCUUUGCUCCUAUGAGUCGCUAUGCCAGUGGUGGUGGUGGAGCUCUUAGGGCUUCAAGGGAGUUCAAAGAAAUGGUUAAAGCCUUGCAUGGUGCUGGCAUAGAGGUGACUAUGUCUUUCUCUUUUUGAUAGUUCUGUUUGUUUGCCUUAUUGAAAACCUGAAAUAUAUUUGUUAGAGUAGACUGAAAUAUUUUGUUUCUUACUCUGCAGGUCAUUUUAGAUGUUGUUUAUAAUCAUACCAAUGAAGCCGAUGAUGAAAACCCUUACACCACUUCAUUUCGUGGCAUAGAUAAUAAGGUGAUUCUGGAAUUCUUUUAUUGAUUUAACAGGACAGGAACCAUGCCUCUGGUAUUUUAUAGUUUAUGUUCUGCUUAUGGUUUUAAAUUUAGGUACGUUAAUUAGAUCAUUAUUUUUCAGUAAAUCUUAAGCUUUUUUUAGUUUUUUUCUAUAAAGUUAAAAGGGGAGAAAGAAUUCCAAACAAGAUGGGGAGGAUAACAUAACCUUUAGAGAAAAAAGACAAAACAAAAGAAAUAAAGAAAGUAAAGAAAAUGCAUUGAUACAAAAAUACAUCACAUUCUCUUUGACAAAUGGAUGAACCUGAGAGCAGGACACCACUCUAGCAAAAUGCUAAUCAAGACUGUUGCUUGAAAAAUCCUAGCAUUCUGCUGUAGCCAAGGAUCCAUAAACCUGUGAAGGUGGUCCACUCCGCAGCACCAUGCACUCCUGUAUUCACUCAAACCCAUGGAAAAAAAAGAAGAGAAACAAGAGUAGAACUAAAGGUCUUUGAGUCAAGAGGGGCAUGCUCUUUUUUUUGGAUGAAAAAAAAAUAUUUUAGAAAACAAGAAAAAACCAUCGUUGUAGUAGUACGUUUCCUUCAAAGGAAAGAAAAAACAGAAAUGCAUCAAUCUAAAACAACCAGCUAAUCUCUUUGCGAAACACUAAACGUGGGUAAUAAUCCAUUCUAAACUAUCCAAGCCAAGUACUCAAGAUUCUGAAAGUAUAUCAAGCAUGAGGACAAAGCUCUAUGAGGAGAGUGGAGCACAUAAUUAUUGGUCCUAUUCAAGAUAGUAAUGUAGAUGAAAACCCGUAUCUCAGACAAAGUUUUCACUUUUCGAGAAAGAGAAAGGCAAAGUUGAGGGAUGCUAAUAGGGUUGUGAGUAAGAAAUUUAAAUAAAGAUUUAUGAGUGUGGAUUGUUGAGGUAUCGAGGGUCCAAACUUGACUAUCAGGGCUAGAGGCAGAGCAAGUGAAGUAAAGUGAUUGGGGACAUAUAUCUAACUAAUAUUGUUCACUGAGAUUUAUGAAGGGAGAAAAGUUCCAAGAUACAUUACCAUCUAGAUUAUUACAAAAGACAAAAUAGUAGCAUUAGGUCUGAUAGACAUUCUAUAAAGAUGAGGAAUAAAGAAGAUGAAACAAAUCAUAAACUUGAGCAAUGGAUCCCUAGGACUUCUUCAAGUAAUUGACGACCCACUUUUAGUGUAUGAGUUGUUCUAGAGCAAUCUGAAAGUUGAUCUUUACAACCCUGUUCCUAAAGAAAAUGCCAUAUUUUCCACUAGAGCAAGGUUUCUACACACUUGAGUUCUAGUAGUAAGCCCUUCCCUCCACUUAUUUAUUAGCAUGAUGACUACAAUUUACAAGCUUUACCACCUAACUCAUAAAUUCUGUCGUUCUUUUCCUAAUAUAAGCUUUUGAUACUAUAAUGCUUUUUUGAUUGAAUUUUGUAAGAAAGGAAUAGUAUAGUUGUCUACUUUCCAAUUUUUACAUUUCUUCCUUAGUCAUGUAUUUCCUGUAACUCAUUUGCAGGUUUAUUAUAUGGUGGAUUUAAAUAACAAUGGCCAGUUGCUGAAUUUCUCUGGCUGUGGUACUUUCUGUGUCCUUUAUAGUUCCUCUUUCUUUGGAAGAACUAUACUCUUUUAUUAAUGCAUUGAGUGGAUGUGCAUCUCUUUUCCUGUAAAAUGUCAUAACUGCAUAUAAAUCUCUUUUCCAAUUUUAUUAAAACUAUUUUGCAUAACUCUAUCUUUUUGUCGUUGCUAUUUGUAACUAGAAUCAAGGUUUUGCUCUUGCAUGAAAAUCAAUGAGUUUUGUCUGCUUUGCAAUAGUUUUAGGAUCAUAGAACUAUGUACCUUAUUCAACAAGGACACAAUUCCUUGCAUAUUGCACUUGAUCUUUGCCACACAUUGUGAUGCAGAACAAGAAGACCUGAAGUAGACAUCUUUCAAUAGUAAUAGACAUUUAUAUAAUUAAUGUUUAUUUAUUAUUAAGAUAUUUAGCUUAUUAAAAAUUAUUAACUAUAGGCCUAUUAUUAGUAUGGAUUUAUCAUUUCCUAUUUAGUAAUUCUCUACUAUAGGUUAUCACGUAAUUAGCUUAUUUUCUAUUUGGUAUUUUUUUUAUGGACUUAAUAUUUUCUAUUUUGAUUGUAUUCUAGUGGCUAUAAAUAGGGUAUUCCUUUAAUUAUUUAUUAGACUAUUUAUAUAAUUAUUAUAUAGAUAUUGAGUUGUGGAUUUGAUUAUUAAAAUCUGAGAUCUCCAAUCUUGGUUCUUAAUAAUUUUUCUCAACAUAUUAUGUUCAAACUUUUUUAAUCCUAAUCAAUAGGUUUCAGAACAAAAACUUGAUUCAUCACGCUGUCCUAAUUCUCUCACCCUAGCUUAUCGAAAAUCUCAACCCUUAUCUCAGUUGGUAACUGCCAUGCUUGCUAGUCAACUCAAGAUCAUAGUGUUCUUAUAGGAAAUUAAUAUUCCAGACCACGUCGAUGAUCGUCGAUGUCUGAUUCAGGAUCUGCAUCGUCAAUGGAACCCUUAGCCAGAAGCCCAACCCCCUAAGAAUGUUGGAAGAGCAUGUGUGGCCCUCACACGCCAGAAGCUGCAAGUGGAGCCAUAUUUCAUCCAAUGACCCUUGGGAUUUUGAAGUCAUUUGCGGAGUCAUAUCCAACCGUUAUUUGGCCAUUUUAAAACCAAAUCAGAGCCAAAAUUCUGCAAUUUUCUAGUAAUUUCCAAAUAAAAAUUCAAUAUUAUUUUCCAAUAACGAAGAAUAGUAAAACUAAGUGUUCCAUUUGCAAAAGAAAAGAAGUCAUAUAAGCAACAUAGCAAUUCUAUCCAAAUAAAGUUGUUUGUGAGAUUAAAAAUUGCUAUCCAAGAAUUGAGUAAUAAAAUUGAUAUGUUUGGAAUGAAGAUUAAAAAGCGCUUACAUCAAGAAAAUUUUAGAAUCUUCAGUUACACAAAAGCGUAACCUAUCUAAAAGUUUUAAUAGAACACCAAGAACAAGUAAAGGAUAAAAAAGGGUGAAAUAAAUUAAUGAAUAAACAAGAUAUAGAAGCUGCUACAAUCUUAUGAUCAAGAAUUAAGUAUGGACUGCAUGAACACAAGUGGGGUAAUUGAGAAAGUAAAGGGUGUUGUGGAAGAGGUUGUUAUUCGUAUAGAUGAAGUUGAGUUUUCUAGGGGUGGAUCUUUUAAUUUAGCAGCAAAAGACAAUAUUGCUCAUGUUGAAAGGUAAAGACAAUCCAGUUGAGUUAAACUCUAUGAAGACAAAAGAAGCCAUACUUGAAGAACUACAACAAUGACACCCUUUGCAAACAAUAUUGGUAAUCAAAGUUAGUGAUUCUUCCAUUUUGUAGAUUUUGUCUUGCCUAAUUGCUCCUUUGCUCCUUCAUAAUCCAUGGUUUUUUUUUCAUUGAAAUAAAAGUAUGAAAUGUGUAUUAAAAUACGGCACCAAGGUGGUGCCGGUCAAGUACAACUGCUCCAACAUCCUCAAGAUUGUAUAUAUUGUCUCCCAAAAAAAUGGAGCCAAAAUAAUGUAACCAUCUAUCUUUUAAGUUCACAAAAGCAGAUUCCCUCCCAUCAAAAGUCCUAGUUUCUUUCUUUCAAAAUGACCCAAAAAAUAAUAAGUGGAAUAAGGCGGGCGGAUCUAUUGUUGUUUGCAACUCCUUCCCAAGCCAAAAGUGCGUUGCUCACUGAGCCCAAAAAUUAUUUUUUAAUGCUUCAUAAUCCAUGAUCUUGGAAGCAUUCUUGUGCUCAAGCUCUCUUUCUUUUACAUCAAUUGCCUUCUUCUGAUUUUUUGUCUUUAAAUAAUAUCACUGAAAAUUUUUCGUCGUUAUGCAUUUAAAUUACAGUUUUCUUAGGAAGUUGGUCAAAAAUGAAGAUGCAUUUUGAAAGGUUUCAUAUGAAAUAAUUCUAUCUUCAUUUAAAAACCAAAAUUUUAGUCGGCUUGGAUACUACAUCAUGCUGUUGGAAAGGAAACUAGCAUUUGAAUGUUCUUUAUCCGGUCAAUUUACUGCCUGAAGUUGUUAUGCUGAAGAAGCUAUUAUCAUAGUAUUCCACUUGAGAUUUUGGUUUGUUGAGCUGCUCUGAAGAAAUGCGGAAUUUGCAUUUGCAUUAUUUUUUCUGAAGAUAAAAGCAUGGGUUUUGGAUAUUUCUAUUGAAAGUCCUUUUCUGAAGCAUCAUUUUUUGGUAUGCAGGGAACACAUUAAACUGUAAUCAUCUUGUUGUACUGGAACUAAUUCUUGACAGCUUAAGACACUGGUAGGGACGAUCCAUGUAGAAAAUUGCUGGUUGAUGCAUGGCAAUUAUUAUCUCAAGAUUCCUCAUUCUUUUCCCUUACCUAACUCUGUAGGGUUACUGAAUAUCAUGUGGAUGGAUUCCGAUUUGACCUUGCCAGUGUACUUUGUCGGGGAACAGAUGGAUCUCUGCUUAAUGCUCCACCUCUUAUUAGGGUAGUUUAAUUUUUUGUACUCUUUCUCUGGUAUGCCACAGGCUUGAGUGCAAAAUAACAUUUCUUUUAAAACCGAGUUCAUUUGCAGAUCUAUGGAAUGAUGAAACUGACAGCAGCAAAGAGUUGAAUUCUGAUGCUUAAUUUUCAGUAGUUGUAAUUGCAAAUAGAACUAACUCCCUUGUCUGAUAUAAUCUUCAGUAGAGGAGAAUGUUGAAGUGUUGUUAAUUUUCUCGCUUUUUUUUUUUUAGGUACUACUAAUUCAUGUAGUGUUAGAGCAGGGCCUUUGAGUUAAGCUAUCAUGCAUAUUGAUCUAGAAGAGGUGGCUGUACUUUUUCUUUAGUGCAUUACGAGUUGUUUGGUUAUAGGAUCUGCUUAUACCUUAUUUCAGAGAAGAAAAAAGAUCUGCUUAUACCCCUAUUUUCCUGUUAAUGAUGAAAUAAAAAAUAAGUAUAUUAUUCUUGUUGGAUUUUCAACCAAGAAGAGUCCCAGAAAAGACAAAAUAACUUGCAAAGUAGGUUAUGUAACCUUAAUGAUUCCAAAAGUUGCUCGUUUAUUAGUACAAGCUUUGGACAAAUAUAAACCACUAAACAAAACACUAGCCUAAGGAUAAAGCAAUACAUCUUUGGUUGACAGCCUCCUCAAUUUUGUUUGUCUUCUCAAAAAAAUAAAUGUCAUUGACUUGAUGGUUAUGAACUGAUUGGUAGUUCUUCCAGAAAUGGCUUCUAGUUUAUUAGUAGCAUUGCUUGAAGCAAAUGGCAAUUUCACUUUUGCUGACUGGCUUUGUCCUAUAAUUACUUAUGAACCAGGCAAUUGCCAAAGAUACUAUCCUAUCGAGAUGUAAAAUAAUUGCUGAGCCAUGGGAUUGUGGAGGUCUAUAUCUUGUGGGAAGAUUCCCAAACUGGGAUAGGUAAUGUUUAUUUUUAUUGUUCUUUUUAUCAAUUUCUUUUGUUCAAUGCGUUAAAGAUGAACAUAAUUGUUUUCUUUAUAUUCAUUGGACACCCUUUAUAUUUUGAAAGCCUGUUUCUUAGUGGAGAGUUUCUUGUUUAACCGAGAGGUAGUUCACCUCUAGUUUUUUCUCAAUUCUCUUGGCGCUUUCUUCUUUUUGAGUAGUAACGUAAGGAAAGGAGAUCGAUCUGUUUAUUAAUCCUAAAUGUUAUUCUUUGAUAGGAGUGAAUAUCACCUUUAGUAUAAAGUGGGUAAAGUACUUUAGUAAAAGGAGGCAAUCUGAUUAUUUCCAAUGUGUAAGGGUAGCUGCUCCCUCCAUGAAAUGAGAUGGAGGAGUGCAGAUAGGGUUCAAUUUCCCAUCGCUUAUUUCUUGGCGUAGCAAAACUGAUGUACUUGAGCUUUGGCAUGGAAGAAGUUGGUAUUCUUAUUUCCUGUUGGCAUCUUGCAUAUACAACCUUCAACUUACAAGAUUUCUCUGGUGUAGGUGGGCCGAAUGGAAUGGAAAGUACCGUGAUGACAUCAGAAGAUUUAUAAAGGUAUUGAUAGGGGGAGAAAGAUCUAAUAUUAGGUCAUAUUAAAAUCUUAACGACAAGAAGUGACUCAAUGAAAACAAAUAAGUAUAUCUUUAAAGAAAAAUGUUUUGAUAUGAUUAAGAUAUUUUUUAACUUUUAUCUUAAAAAAAAUAUUUCUAACUUGGUUCUUCAGAUUAAAGAGCUAUGAUGAAACUGUCAGAUUCUCCUUGUUAAUAUCUUUUGGUUUAACUUUUAAUUGACAGUUAAUACUGUGAGUUUGAUCUCCUUUUCUUUUUCUGUUAUUAAGCUGAACUUUAUGUAAAUAUUCGCAGUUUUGAUAUUCUGAAGUUUUGAGGUUUUCUACUCGAUUGAUGCUUAAUUCUUUCUUGGUUUCAUCACUUUUCGUCAUAGAAAUUUUGUUUGUUAGUUUCUCUCCAUUUUGUUCGGUUAGAUUGUAUAUAUUAUUAUUCUCUUCUUUCUAUUUCCUUUGUCACAAAAGAAAGGAGUAGCUUUCUUAUCUAUCAAUUUCCCAAUUUCCACUUUACUUUUUGUUUAAAAUUGUAUGAUAUAGGGUGAUUGUGGCAUGAAGGGAAGCUUUGCUACUCGUAUCUCUGGAUCUGCUGAUCUUUACAAGGUAAUGAUCAUUCUACCAUGGGUGCUUCAAGUCCUCUACUAAUAUUCUUGUUGAAAUCAUGGGUAAUUUUUAUCUUCAAUAUUUUGGCAUAAAUUGCUAACACAAAACUGUAACAAUUUUGAGGUUUAGAUUGUUCAGAAGUUUAUUAACAUACCAUUUUUGUAACUGAAUUUGAAUUAACAAGUGAGCAGAGCACAUUUAUUUAUUUAUAGUCAAAAUAGCCUAUGAGAUCCUGGAGCAAAGCGUUGACUUCCACAAUGAAUUGAUUUUUUUUUUCUUUUAAAAAAGAAAUUUGUCAAGCUAUGGGUUGAUUCAGUUUACAGACUUAUAUGACUUGAAGGUGUUAUUCUGUGAUUCUCAUCUUAUGGACCUUGUUCUUAGUCAAUAUCUUUUAGGAUAUAGUAUUUUAUAAGUUAGAAUAUGAGAUGCUACUCAUGAAAGUUCUGACGUGACAGAAAUUUCGUUAAUGAAGCUAGACGUCUAUUUGCAUAUUCUGUAAAGUUUUACUUCACUAAAAUCCACUUUCCCAGUAAAGGAAUAAAAUAUAUUAUUCUAUUUAAUCUAUAUUAUAAUUUGCUCAUAUCUUGCAAUAUUAUAAAGAGUACAUACUUCUGAUGAGUAAAUCACUUUUAAUAUUUUUCAUUCCCCUCCACCUAAUCAGUUAUCACAAUUAUUGGCUAUUGCAAAAAUUAACCUUUGGAUCUUUUCUUCUCCUUCUAUAGGUCAAUAAACGCAAGCCUUACCAUAGUGUUAAUUUUGUCAUUGCACAUGAUGGUUUCACUUUGUACGAUCUUGUUUCGUACAAUUUUAAGGUACUAUAUGCUUUUACUGGAUUAAUUUGAUUUUAUAAAUAUUAUGAAUCCACUUUUGCCCAUUACUGUUGGUUUUGUAGCACAAUGAUGCUAAUGGAGAAGGUGGAAAUGAUGGGAGCAAUGAUAAUUUCAGCUGGAAUUGUGGUUUUGAAGGUAGGAAUGAGCUACUUAUCUGGAAACCUUAGUUUGUAAAUUACAGGUUUAGAGCAUCAUAUUUUUAAGGUUCUAAAGAUGGGAUCACAUGACACCUCAAAAACUGGGAAAAUUUUCAUAUCAACAGAUUGUGAAGUGAGUCACUAUGGAAUUUCUUUGAGAUGAAAGUUGUUUUUUUUAUUUGCUUUAAAAGUAGGCCCUUCAUACAUGGAGUAUAAAUAGAUUUAAUUUGGUUUGUUUACACCCUGUACCCAAACCAUACGAAACUAAAAAGAUUUCAAACCAGAUCAAACCAUUUACCACGAAAAUAACAGAAACCAAACUAAAUUAAGUUACCUUACAUUUUAUGUAUCUCAAAAAUUUUUGUAACUUUGUCUAACAAUAUUACCUUACAUUAAUAAUAGCGUAUCUCAAAAACAAUAUUUUUUGCAAAUUAAGUUACAUAUACAACCUAGCAAAACAAAAACAAAAACAAAAACAAAAGUAAGUACUUUUAGGCACGAAUAGGAUGGUUUGGUUUGUUUUGGUUGAAAUCUUCUAGACCAAAAUGAACCUAAUUAAAAUUUUUGGUUUAGAUUUCUAUAACCAAAAUUUGGAGGAUCAAAAGCUAAACUAACCAUUUUGGUACUUUGCUUUACUUUUUUAGUUUGCAUCAAACAAACCCUAUUCGUGGGAGGACUGAGUUACAUAGCAUAUUUGUGGUGCAUUCAGGUUCUUGUUGGUCCUUAAACCUCCUGAAUGUCUUAGGACAUCACUGCUUGGCUGUGGAUGCCUGUUUUGAGUGACCCUGUUCUCCCGAAGAUGUGAUAUCAUUUUAUGUUCGAAAGUGUUGGAUAGUAGUGUCUGUGUCUGCUUCUUUUAUAAUGGUUUUUCUUCUCUAGAUCUUUUGCCGAAAAUUUAGGAUAUUGAUAGGUUUUAAAAAAGCUUCCAUGGAUGCGGAGGUUGUUGGCUGUUCCCUUAUUGGAUUUAUGCAUUCUUGUCAUUCAUUCAACUAAAUCUUACCUUCCAUUUUGUUUGAAAGUUAGCCAUACGCUACAUGAUCCCUUUCAUUCAAAAUUCUUGUUACCUUCUUUUUUUUUUUUUGUGUGUGUGCUAUAUGAUCAUUUUCCAUUUUGGCAGUUUGAGAGCUGCUGUAUAGGGAACACAUGACCGGACUUAGCAGUUCAGGGAAUUGCAAGAAAAUAUAUUACAUUCAUCUGUAUUUAUGCACAGGGGAAACUGAUGAUCCUAAGGUUAAAGCUUUGCGUUCCAGACAAAUGAAGAACUUCCAUUUGGCAUUAAUGAUAUCGCAGGUAAAACAUAUCUGAAAGCUGGUAUAAAGUGUCGCACAUUGGUGGUGCCUUACAACUUUAUCUUUUCCUGCUUAAACGAUCUUCAAUGUUUUCCUGUUUGGAUAAAUAGUCUAAACUUUUUGUUUAACUUGAUACACAAAUCAUUUUUUUUUUCAAACAAAAAAUAAUGACAAUGAGACAAUAAUAAUAAUAAUGGACUUGUAUUUUAUUUGGGUUUCAGGUUCUUGUUUGACUAAUUAUGUUUGCUGUAGUGUAGGUUAGUCAACAUUGAGUUGGUUAAGUUGUUUUUUUCUCCCUAAUUUCAUAUGUUUGUCAUCUACCUUUAUUACUAUUAAUCCUUGCUGUUAUCUUCAAUAUAAUAGGCAGUAUAUGGGCUUCAAAGCUCGUUUCUAUUCCAUCCGAAUUUGACACACCACGCCUGUUUCCUUUUCUUUUACAUCAUUUUCAUUGUAGCUUGUGCGUUGUUAUGCCUGGUUUUUUAGUGGUUUUCUCUAUGUUGCUUGUGAGCUUUGCUGUUUUAAUGUGACCAAAGUGAAUGUAUAUAAGCAGGGAACUCCAAUGAUGCUAAUGGGAGAUGAAUAUGGGCAUACUCGUAAUGGGAACAACAACAGCUAUGGUCAUGAUAAUGCCAUUAACAAUUUCCAAUGGGACGAGGCAUGUUUUCUAUUUGUUUUUCUGUCUUUCUGAUAGCUUUAACUCAUGAUGGCUCCUAAUGCAAAAUAUUUUUGUUAACAGUUGGACCAAAAGAAGAGUAGUCAUUUUAGAUUUUUUGCAGAGGUGAUAAGAUUUCGCCGGAGUCAUCAAGUAUUUAGCCAUGAAAACUUUAUUAGCAAAGUAAAUCUCGUUUCACUUUCAUGUUGUAGUUUAUUGCCUCUGAUUCCUAUGAAGCUAAUGAACCAUUUCAUAUACAGAGUGAUGUUACAUGGCAUGAGGAUAACUGGGACAAUUAUGACAGCAAAUUUCUUGCGUUCACGUAAGAAUAAAAUUUUUCUUCUUUCUGCAAUGUAAAAAAUAAUCUGCUCCUGGCAAUGGAAUUGCAUAACUGAUGUCCAGGAUCAAGCACAGAUUUCCCAUUUCCUGUUUGAUAUUAUAAAUUGCAUGCUGGACAGAGUGGCAAGUUGUUGAUUUAUUUCUUAAUCAAAAAGAAUUAUUUCAUUGUGUGCAUGCGUAUGUGCUCGUCUAUUUAUAUACCGUCCUGUCUCCUUGUGGCAGACAAUUGUAUUUCUUCUUUUCUCUGAUUGCCAGAAAAAAGGAUUCAAGCUUUGUUAAUGUGCUUUCCUCCUAACAGCACAGCCCCAGCUUCAUGGGCCAUUGUAGUCUCAUUUUCUCUUUAAAAGAAGUUUGAGUUUCAUUACCUGGAGGCUUGCAACUGUUCCCAUCCGACAAUAGAUGACCCUAAUCUUUUCCUUCACUCCCUUUAUGAACAAGAGGGAGGGACAGACUGCCUACAGUCUGUUUAGAUAUAUAUGAACAAAGCUAUUUCUACCAGUUAUUACCAAAAGCCAGAUCUAUGGCCUAUUAGUUUUACUAUUUCUGACCUUAUCUCCUGAUAUUACUAAAUAGAGUAAACUUAUGCUGGGGACUCCAGGAGCAAUCAUGUACACAGUAUUUAGCUUGGAAACAAUUAGUGUGUGAACAUAUAUAUAAUGAAAUGAAUUUUAGAAGAUGUUGUGCCGUAUAUAUUUUUUUCUGGAAACUAGUGAGCAUAUUUCAUUGUUAUUUUAACGAGCAUAUGCAGUCAGAACAGCAAAUGAGAAAUCUUUGGUUUUUGCAGGCUUCAUGACAAGAAAGGUGGAGAUAUAUAUUUGGCAUUCAAUGCACAUGACUUUUUUGUUAGAGUUUCAAUACCUCCACCACCAGCAAGGAGGCAUUGGCUUCUUGUGGUUAGUAUUUUCCUUUUCUUUUCUUUGAACUUGCAAUAUCUGCAACAUAUAAUGCUAUAUUCAGCACUUACAUUAUCCUAGUGCCACGAAUAUUAUUCAUAUGCUUAAAUUGUCUUUUCAUCUUUCAAUUUUAGGAUACCUGCUACCUUUCAAUUUCAGAAUACUUGCUACAGAAACAACUUUCAGUGAUAAUCUUAAUUUCUUAGUGGUUAUUUGGACUUUGUUUCGGGACACCUAUCCCACUGAUUUUUGGUCAAUUUUUAAUGUUUCAAACCUAUACUGCUUUCUAAGCAUAUGGGAUCAUUGUUCCUUGGCUUUCCUAAAAACUAGAGGGUUUGUCCCUCUCUGUACACCUGGAUGUGAGAACGGAAAAUGUUCCUUGGGUUGAUCCAAAUUUGUGGAGAUGGGAGAUCAAAUGAGUAUAUUAGGCUCCAAGUAAAUGGUGCGGUUUGGUGCUAUGUUGUCACUUUACAUGUCAGUCCCUAACUUUUUGCUCCAAAUUCUCCACAUGUUGUAAUGCUCCUUCGCUUUUAGUUUUCUUUCCCAAAAAGGACCACAUAGAUGCAGCCUUACUCCUGCUGUGAUGUUCAUUAGGAGCCUCUCACUUGCUGCUUUUUUUAAAAUAAAAAAUAAAAAAGUAAAGUAUAAUUCAUUCACAAGCAGUAAGUGCAAACCCGUGUACCUGUGACUUGCUGCUAAUUAAUGAUAAAGCAUUGUUUUAAUUAAGUUUCCUAGUGUAACGUUCAUGACAUGGAUGCAGUAAAGUGAGCUGCCGAGUUUAAAUGAUGGAUAUAACUAUGGCCAAUAAAAGAUUCUUUUGAAGUAAAAGAGUGAAAGAAGCAAGAAUUAAAAAAUAAAAUAAAAUAAAAAAGUCUCAGUUGAAUGAUUUGAUCAGGAAUAAUUGUGGCUUGACUUGGCAUGCAAAAUAUUCCUUAUUCACAAUCAAUAAUUUAAAGAAGAACCCAAACAUGUUGGUAAUUUAUUUGCCUCGUCAAAUUUCAGGCGGACACAAAUCUCGAGUCUCCGAAUGACUUUGUCCCUGAAGGUGUCCCAGGCAUAGAAGGCAUCUACAAUGUGGCCCCUUACUCUUCAAUUCUUCUUGAAGCUAAAUAAUGAGUCAUGAACCUGACCUAUCUGCAUAUUACACGAGCACUCCAAGAUUUUUUAUCUGCUAUAUGAGAUACAGGUUUUCUGGGAUCAUUUCGGUAUCAGGUAUUUCUAAGACUAAGGAAAGAGAUCUCUCUUUUGGGUAAAGAAGGAAGAUCAAUCUACAUCACAAAUUGAUGAAACAUUAACAGUUUUUAGACUUUACGCGCACUUAAUUAUAUAGUCAACUUUAGAGGCUUGUCUUUCCUUGGUAGUGAAGAUCUGAAUUGGUAAUGCAAAUUAAUUUUUACUUUUUUUUUUUUUUUUUUCCUUGCGUGAAGAAUUAGAAUUCAAGAAUAAGCAAGAAGAAAAAUAAAUACUUAUAUAUUCGGCAAAGCUAUUUUCUCAAGUCAUUGAAGAAGUAUUUGUCGUCUAGUGAGCGGCACGGUUUCUGAGUUUGACGACUUUAACUUGCUUUGAUUAGAAGAUGGCAUUAUGUAUUUAUGGUGCUUCUUUUUGAGCUCAUCUAUACGGUAGUCUUAUAUAAUAAACAUGCAAAUCAGGUUUCUUAAGACUUUUUGAAGCUGGAUGAAUUUAAUAAUUUAAGAGAAAUUCUGGGAGAACUAGUCAAUAUAUAAAUUCGGUUAACUGGCAAUUUGAUUUGUUUAGGGUAAAUUUUAAAAUUUUAAUAGAUGUAUGAAACAAUCUUCCCGGAAGUACAUCUUGGAUUUUAAAUCUUUUUAACAACGAAAAGAAGUUCAAGGUCUUAAAAAAUUACAACUGGACAACGAGACAAAGAUAAUGAAAACAGUAACACAUCUUUAGAUGUAUUAACUUAUGAUGAGUUCCAUGUCUUUUCUUCAUCGAUUUGGAUAGUCCUGUAAUUUAAAUUUUAUAAUAUAUUCCAGUCCACAACGGGCUAAUCUAAUCAUAACGAUAAGGGCAAUUUCCGCGUUUAAUAAUUAACUUGAUUAAUUAAAAAAUUAUACCCGUUGAUCAAUUAGAAACUUCAAAGACUAGAAAAGUCAACCAACAACCCACCGCCGUUGAUCAAAGAUGCUUUACGACAACGCGUCGCUGGAGUUUGUCAAAUUAUUGUACUUCAUCCGACGGUUCAGAUCCUUCCCUUGCGAUCAUCGGUACCACGUGUCAGUGAAGAUGCAGUUUCCUUUUUGUCGCACUUGAAUCCCUCAAGUUUCUCAUUCUCUCAAACCUUCCCCUAAUUGUUUAAACCAAUUGUAGAUCUGCUCCCCGUUCGUCUCCCAUAAUUAGUAAUUAUUUAUUAAACCUUAUUACGAAUGCCACUAUUAUCCAAAGACAAAUUAAUAUGACAUUUUCUUAUUAAAAAACUAAUUUUUAACUAAAUUAAAUAACAAAAAUGAUUGCGUCUCAUAAAUUUUUAUAAGCAUGUCUAAAAGAAAAUAAUUCUCUUUCUAGAAGAAGUAAAAUUUCAUUAUAAAUUAUUAAUAAUUCAAUAAAGUAUAAUUAUAUGUUGAUAAAAAAAUAAAUCAACAUGAUAGGACAAAAAUAAAAUAGACUUUUUAUCUAUUUAGACCGGCAAGGACUAAAAUGAAAGAAUACGUAAAUAUAAGGUGGUUAAAUGGAGAUUUCCGAAUAAACAAGUCAUCUUACGAUUAAAAUCUGGAAGAAAAGGAAACAAACAAGAAAUUUUCUGAACCGACUUUAACCUUUUCUCUAUAUAAACUCUCUUCUCCUCUCUCUCUCUCUUCAAAGCCCGCACAGUCUCUCUUUCGUUCUCUCUCAAUCUCUCACCAGUCGGCUCCUCUGUACUCUGCGACUUCUUCCUUUUUGCUUCUGAGCCCUUUGGCCUUUCGUUUUCUCUCGAGAACUCGCUUGAGCUAUAAACGAAAAAUGGCCAACGAGACUUUCCUUCUUCUUCUGCUUCUGGCACUGGCUUCCCACUCCGCUCUUGCUCAGGCUCCCGGAGCAGCACCGAACCAAUCUCCGCCAGCAGCUACUCCAGCUCCGGCCCCAAAGGCUGCGGCUCCAACUCCCUCAGUCAUGGCUCCACCACCAGCCACCACUCCAACUACUCCACCAACCGUAGCUCCAACCGUACCUCCAGCAAGUGCACCAACUUCUCCCACCAUCUCUCCUCCUGCUCCUCCCACCUCUCCCGCUUCAGCUCCAUCCACACCGGUCCCUCCCACACCAUCCAUUUCCAACCCUCCCGGUGAGGCUCCUGCCGUCACUCCCGGCAAUGGAGCUGCCUUGAACAGAAU